UACAGAGGUCUCAAGCGUUGUUCGGAUUCAUUGGGCGUAAAGGGUGCGUAGGCGGCGCGGUAAGUCGGGUGUGAAAUCUUGGAGCUUAACUCCGAAACUGCAUUCGAUACUGCCGUGCUUGAGGACUGGAGAGGAGACUGGAAUUUACGGUGUAGCGGUGAAAUGCGUAGAUAUCGUAAGGAAGACCAGUGGCGAAGGCGGGUCUCUGGACAGUUCCUGACGCUGAGGCACGAAGGCCAGGGGAGUAAACGGG
RNAcentral lists this ribosomal RNA (253 nucleotides) under uncultured bacterium. RNAcentral's name for it is "partial 16S ribosomal RNA". It matches the Rfam family "Bacterial small subunit ribosomal RNA", at positions 524 to 776 of the family's 1533-position model. The record is from RNAcentral.